GCCGCUUCCCUCGGUGGGAUGGAGACUGGAGGGGAGGACGGGGACAGUUUGACCGUUAAAAACAAAUUACAGGAUGGACUCAUCGUCAAUGUCAUUAAAGACGGUCCCAUUGAUCUGACUCGGCUUCAAGGCGACCCAGUUCAACACUGGCAUCCUGAACUUGGUCUGGAUUGGCUUCUUUAUCUUCACCGCUGCACAGCAUAGAGAACGACAGGUGAGCGGGGUGACAGGUUGUCCAUGUUAGAUUUACUGUGAGAGUCUAUAGGUGUGUUCAGACUGAGUGGCUGCAGUGUGUGUUUAUUGAGCACAACCAAAGUCCACUGUAGGUAGCUUGAACUAUAACAGACAGAUAGCCUUAAAGAUUUAUUUUGACACAUUUAUAUGAGUGAGGGGGGGCGUUACUCCAUCUGGAGACCUGGUGGGGCUCCCUAUUGUGGAACUGUCUAUCCCCUAUCAAUUUCGACUCUUCUCAUCGAGUAAUGGUUUAGUUGACUAUUAUAACUAAUAUAAUUUAAAGUGAUGUGAAAUAAGUCUGAAGCAGAUACAGCUGGUUUUAGCAGUUCUGAAUGUUUUGAUAUCUUUUAAUCUUUGACUCAAAAAACACUUCCUGUGUCUCUGUAUUAACUUUAUAUACUGUUUCUCAAAUGUUCCUCACAUCAGUCUGAACACACAUUAAAGAGGUCGAUCAUUGACCUCAAACAUGUGACAUUAAUAAAACACAAACCAGCCAAUAGCUGGCUGUACUAUCACCUGGAAAUUUCCAAUUUCCAGGUGAUAAAGGGAUGAUAGCGGGAUGAUGAAGGGAUAGAGGACAAUGGAGGACAAACCACAGAAAUGGGCGGCUGUGGGUAGUUCACUGAUUAAAGGGUUGGCGGUUCUUCUUGGGCAAGACAGUCAACCUCAAACUGCUUCCGAUGGUCAGAUCAGUAGCUUGCUGCCAUCAACGUGUCAGUGAAUGAGCAGCAAAGACUUUGUAAAAAAAGCCUCGGAUGAAAUAUCAAUGUAGCCAUUUACCAUUUAAGAUGAUGGAGGAUGGAAUAUUGAAGAUGAAGGUUGAAAUAAAGAUGGGGGAUGAAAUAAAGUUGGAUGAAAUAAAGAUGGAGGAAGCAGGAAGAUGUGUGAUGGAUGUUGAAGACCAUAAGGAAACGUACAAAAUAACUUGAGAGGACCCUCUGUCAGCAAAACAAGAGAGAAAAAACCAACAUGUUAGUAGCAUAGACUCAACACAUUCACAUUUACCGUAACAACUGAGAAUUCUGGCUUCUGAUUGGCUGAAAGGUGUAGAUGAAAUUUUAGUAACCAGACAGUAUAUCCACACGUUUGUUCUAAAUUACUGCAUAAGACUGUUUUAUAAACAAUGUUGCUGUUCAACUGCUUGGACUCAGAUAUCAAACGUCGGAGCUUCCUUUAACACAUCAACAUGGAGAGUUUUUCAGAUAUUAGUGACCUUGAUAGAAAAACAGUUUAUGUAUUUAGUAUUUAGAGCAGGGCUCCGGAGUGCGACCAAUUGGGUUGCACAUGUACACAAGACAUGGAGCCCUUGGUCCCUGGUGAGAGACCAAGCCCUGGUCCUUCGGUGACAGCAUCAGACUCAGAACCAGAAGAGGAGACAACCGAGUCUGGGAUAGAGCCCGGCUCCGUGACCCAAAUUAAAAAGGCCAAAAUAUAUUCCUUCAGACAGGACUGACUGAAACAAUUUCCCUGGCUGAGGUACAAAGGUACCGCAAUGCACUGCGUGUACUGUCAGGAGUGCGGUCAGAAUAUGGCCGGAAAUAGUGCAUUCGUGAGCGGGUAAACAAGUUUCGUAUCGAAACUUUAAAAAAACAUAACAUGUCUAAAAAAAAACACAAUAUACUGUGACAAGUGUGUAGAGAAAGUGGCCCCUCUCCCAGCUGCAUUUCAGCGGCAGGUAGUAGUAAGCUCUUUAAAAAGUAGCCCUUUUUAUUUUGAAAUGUUUUAUUUUACUUAAAAUGUUUGAGUUUGAAAUGUUCAAUUUCAGUUGAAGCAAUUUAAGCACAAGCACUUUUAUUUGGAAAUGUUUUAUUUUGCUUAGUGUUUUAGUUUGAAAUUUUCAAUUUCAGCUCAGUGAAGCACUUUAAACACUUUUCUUUUUAUAUAUAAUUGUGCUUCAAAUAAAGACAAACAUUUC
Long non-coding RNA from Dicentrarchus labrax (European seabass), 2149 nucleotides. RefSeq lists it as uncharacterized. The transcript is spliced from 2 exons. NCBI's taxonomy places the organism in Eukaryota, Metazoa, Chordata, Actinopteri, Moronidae. The record is from RefSeq and is a predicted model, not a curated record.